RNAcentral lists this ribosomal RNA (497 nucleotides) under uncultured bacterium. Its description in RNAcentral is "partial 16S ribosomal RNA". It matches the Rfam family "Bacterial small subunit ribosomal RNA", at positions 28 to 507 of the family's 1533-position model. The record is from RNAcentral.
GAUGAACGCUGGCGGCGUGCCUAAUACAUGCAAGUCGAGCGAACAGACGAGGAGCUUGCUCCUCUGACGUUAGCGGCGGACGGGUGAGUAACAUGUGGAUAACCUACCUAUAAGACUGGGAUAACUUCGGGAAACCGGAGCUAAUACCGGAUAAUAUAUUGAACCGCAUGGUUCAAUAGUGAAAGACGGUUUUGCUGUCACUUAUAGAUGGCUCCGCGCCGCAUUAGCUAGUUGGCAAGGUAACGGCUUACCAAGGCAACGAUGCGUAGCCGACCUGAGAGGGUGAUCGGCCACACUGGAACUGAGACACGGUCCAGACUCCUACGGGAGGCAGCAGUAGGGAAUCUUCCGCAAUGGGCGAAAGCCUGACGGAGCAACGCCGCGUGAGUGAUGAAGGUCUUCGGAUCGUAAAACUCUGUUAUUAGGGAAGAACAAAUGUGUAAGUAACUAUGCACGUCUUGACGGUACCUAAUCAGAAAGCCACGGCUAACUACGUG